Molecule: small nuclear RNA, 111 nt
Organism: Lepus europaeus (European hare)
Lineage: Eukaryota; Metazoa; Chordata; Mammalia; Lagomorpha; Leporidae
Source: RefSeq, a predicted model, not a curated record
GCAAGUGCUACGUUGUGGCCGUGCACAGACCCAAAUCAGAACAAUGCAGAGAGGAUCAGCAUGGCCCCUGCACAGGAUGACACACACAUCUGUAAAGCGCGCCACAGUUUU